CACGGGGGGAGCAAGCGUUGUUCGGAAUCACUGGGCGUAAAGGGCGUGUAGGCGGUUCGGUAAGUGAAAUGUGAAAUGCCCCGGCUCACCCGGGGACCUGCAUCUCAAACUGCCGGACUAGAGUAUGGGAGAGGAUGAGGGAAUUCCUGGUGUAGCGGUGAAAUGCGUAGAUAUCAGGAGGAACACCGGUGGCGAAAGCGCUCAUCUAGCCCAAUACUGACGCUGAGGCGCGAAAGCUAGGGGAGCAAACGGG
RNAcentral lists this ribosomal RNA (253 nucleotides) under uncultured bacterium. RNAcentral's name for it is "partial 16S ribosomal RNA". It matches the Rfam family "Bacterial small subunit ribosomal RNA", at positions 524 to 776 of the family's 1533-position model. The record is from RNAcentral.